Molecule: ribosomal RNA, 305 nt
Filed under: uncultured bacterium
Lineage: Bacteria
Description: bacterial SSU rRNA
Rfam family: Bacterial small subunit ribosomal RNA
Source: RNAcentral
UCCUACGGGGGGCAGCAGUAGGGAAUUUUCGUCAAUGGGCGCAAGCCUGAACGAGCAAUGCCGCGUGAACGAGGAAGGUCUUCGGAUCGUAAAGUUCUGUUGAAGGGGAAAAAGAGCGGAGAGAGGAAAUGGUCUCCGAUUGAUAUUACCCUUCGAGGAAGUCACGGCUAACUACGUGCCAGCAGCCGCGGUAAUACGUAGGUGGCGAGCGUUACCCGGAAUGAUUGGGCGUAAAGGGUGCGUAGGCGGCCUGCUAAGUCUGGAGUGAAAGGUACCGGCUCAACCGGUACAGGCUCUGGAAACUG